This is a long non-coding RNA of Triticum dicoccoides, 1017 nucleotides long. RefSeq lists it as uncharacterized. The record is from RefSeq and is a predicted model, not a curated record. The transcript is spliced from 7 exons. NCBI's taxonomy places the organism in Eukaryota, Viridiplantae, Streptophyta, Magnoliopsida, Poales, Poaceae.
UUGAAAUGUGGCCACCUUUGUAUGGCUAAUGGCUUUGUAGGCUUUCAGUAUUUGGCGUCUGUCGCCGGGUUUGUUCCGCCUCAACCAGGAUCUUCUCGGCACUGCUCUGAUGUUGUGAAAACUCACGCACGCCGGCAGCCGCCUCCAUGCUCCAGUUGCCGCAGCCUGCAGUGUCAGUUGCUCCUAUCUGGACGAGCUUUGUUGGGGUCAUGUGGUUGCUGCUGCUACCGCUUUGUCGGGGUCAAGGGUCAAUAAAACUCAGGUCAAUUGAUGUUGGGCACCAAUCUUGCUCCUAUUUGGGUGGGCUACAGCUUUGUCAGGCUGCCAUCAUAUUCUGAUCUUCCAGUGUUCCUUCUGCGGUGUGGAGGAGGUUUGCUACUAAAUUCACAAAAAAGUAGUGUUCUUUUGCAUCACCAUCCUAUGGAGCCAUGAGAUCUGAACCAAUGAAUACAGAGAACAUUAACUAUGUUUGUGGAUCACUACAUGUUCUAUUGGAACAAGAGUAAAAGGUCAUAGUGACAACGCCACUUGGACUGCUUCUGAACUUCCAUGAUGACACUAGGCUGUUCCAAGGACAACCUGAGCUCCUCCUUGUGGUGAUGUUAGCGGGCGAGCUUCUUCUACCUCCACUCUAUGGAUGUCAGCAGAGAAAAGGAGAGGAAGGGGAUGGAUGAGCAAGGACCAGAAGGACCAGAAGAAGAAGGGCAAGGGAGAUGGGGCGAUGUGCAUGUCCAUGGAGGGGGAAUUCUAAUUUCUUUACAGCGGUGUUUGAACAAAAUGGCAUAUUCCGUGGGCUAGAUGAUAGAAGGACAUUUUGUUGAAGCACUCAAGAGGAGUAAUACUACUGUGAUGCCAACACAUGGUGAAUAAACUUUAUAUUUUAUAAUGCUCUAAAUCCUGCACUGUGUUGGUUUGUUUCUAAUCUAAACAUGUCUUUUGGCUUGCUCUAGAUUUAGCCUGAACCUUAAUUCUUUGUUUGGUCUGAAUCUUGCCUGAACCACUUCAUGCAGAUCCUGA